CGUAGGGAGCGAGCGUUGUCCGGAAUUACUGGGUGUAAAGGGAGCGUAGGCGGGAUCUUAAGUCAGGUGUGAAAACUAUGGGCUCAACCCAUAGACUGCACUUGAAACUGAGGUUCUUGAGUGAAGUAGAGGCAGGCGGAAUUCCUAGUGUAGCGGUGAAAUGCGUAGAUAUUAGGAGGAACAUCAGUGGCGAAGGCGGCCUGCUGGGCUUUUACUGACGCUGAGGCUCGAAAGCGUGGGAGCAAACAGGAUU
This 253-nucleotide ribosomal RNA is filed under the name uncultured bacterium. RNAcentral describes it as "partial 16S ribosomal RNA". It matches the Rfam family "Bacterial small subunit ribosomal RNA", at positions 526 to 779 of the family's 1533-position model. The record is from RNAcentral.